Long non-coding RNA from Poecilia latipinna (sailfin molly), 365 nucleotides. RefSeq lists it as uncharacterized. The transcript is spliced from 2 exons. The record is from RefSeq and is a predicted model, not a curated record. NCBI's taxonomy places the organism in Eukaryota, Metazoa, Chordata, Actinopteri, Cyprinodontiformes, Poeciliidae.
UUUGAUAUCACAUUUAUUUGUUUUUUGAUGCGAAUCUCCGGUUGUUUUUUUUUGUGUUGAGAGACAUCGUGUGAAGAACGGCGAGCCAGGAUCCAAAAGAGCAGAUUGAGAUUGUGUCCACUACGACGUCAAAGAAGAACCUUCUUCUGUUCCACUUGAUCGGUGGGAUUGCACAUAUUAACACUACCCGGGUAGCUACCACAUAACAUUCAGAUCUGAAAACCGAAUUGAACUGAAAAAAAAAAAAAGAAAGGAAAAACUUUUGAACUCGACUGACUUGACUAAGGACUACCAAAAGGAAACAUUGACUAUUUUGUACUGUUUCAUUAUUGUCAAAAUGUGUAAUAAAUGUGUUUUGUUCAACA